GUGCAGACCUCACCCUCUCCACGACCUGGGGCGUGUCUGUGGCUGACGGGCAGGAGCGCUGUUAUGGAGUUGGCGGUGGACCUCACGAGUGCCGAGUGCAUUUGCUCCCCGGGGAGGCUCGAUGCUCAGGGACUCCAGGCCUCGGCGUCUGCAGCAGAUAAUCACAGAGGCUUGCCAGGUGGCCUCCGGUGAGCUCCGUGUGGCUGCAGCCCAGCUGGAAUCGCUGAGAUUAGGGAGGAAGAGGGGCCGGUUCCUCAUAGCCCGUGGCACGUGGGAAGGAUGCGCCCCCGGCGUAGAGCCCGCGCUGGGGACCACAAACACGCCCCUCCAGCUGCUACCCACUUUCAUAUUCUGUUCAGGAGCUACCUGGUAGGUUUUUUGGUUAAUUUUCAAUGAAUGUAAGUCUAUAUUUCUAAUGUAUAGGAAUAAAACAAACAAAGAAGUAGUCUAUCCACAACACACUUCCCAGGGGUUGGGCAGCAGUGGGCUCAGUCCUGCCAGAAUCGGCCCCACAGGAGCAGCCCCAGCAGCCGGGACCUGGAGCCUGAGGCCAGCGCCGCAGAGGUUGGAAUCCGGAAAGGAAGGCGCCCUCCAAAAUGACGUGCAGUGAGUCUGGAUGACUUGAGGAAAAGAAGAAGAACAUGCAUUUUGGAUGUCUAUUUACAACAACACUGAUUUCUUAGAUUUAGAGAAGGUGGCAAAACCCUCCACUGAAUGUGAUUAAAGUCGUGGAGAGCAAGGUGGGACCCAGGCCGGCAGCAGCAGCAGCGAAAUAGAUCAACAGACAACAGGGUGUUCAGGACCCAGUUCAGGGCUGGAGAGGACAGAGAUCAACAAAGAACUUGGUCAUCGCCAAGGAGCCCGAUGCCGGGUGAGUGUGGACGGCAGCUCACGGGAGCCCUGCCCGUGCCCAUCCUGGUCCAGCCACGCUUGCUCGAACCACAGAGAGGGACAGCUCAGCCCACAGCUACACAGAGGAAGAGCCUGGGCAGCUGCCCACAGCCCCAGGGAUCAGGCCUAACAUUUUCCUAAAACUUCCUAUCUGUGUUGCCUUUUCCACUCGCACCGUCUCACUUACGCCACAGGCUGGGAGGUAAGCAGGGCACGUAUAGUCCCCACCGGGCACUGGGAUCUGAAGCAGUCGGCGACUUGCCUGGGGACAGGGCUGCUCCACAGAUCUGGGCAUCAAGCUGAGGUUCCGGCUCCAAGCCCUGUCGCCUUCUCGCCUCUUCAUUUGCUUUGUGGCAUCACAGCCUAAGCAAAAAGGAGAAAGCAGUUCGCUCAGGAUGGGAGUACUCUCGUCCUGGCUUCCGGAAGGUUCCCGACACAGGUCCCCUCCUCCUACGGUGCAGGCCCCGGCGCUUACGGAGCCACUUCCCAGCCUCCCUGGCAGCCUCAGCACCACGCUGUCUCCGCUGCCGCUUUAACUGUGGACGUGGUGACCAGCAGCCUUCCAGAGGUGGCCCCUCCAGGAACGGUGGCAUCAGCUCUGUGCAGGGAGGACAGCUGCUCCCAGACGAAGGGAGGAGGCCUGGGUCCCCACACAGUCCCUGAUUCAGGGUCGUGCUGGACACGUAUUCUGCACGGGGCAGAUUAUGCGGAUUUUAGCCUUGUGGAUCCUACAGCCGCAGCCACAGAAAGAUGGAGACAAGGGCACGUGGCUGUGUCCCAGGAAAACUCUCUCUACAGCUGCCGGCCACUUCUGGCCGCCUCCCGGUCUAGACGCUCACAUGAGAGAAAAACAGAUUUAAAAAAUCAUUUAAGCCAUUGCCUCAAGGCCAUUUCACAAAUCCAAUGACAGGCCAAAUUGGGCAAGCACAACUAUGAGUAAGGCCUAUUCCAAUAUUACAGAAAAUCUGCAAGACAGUUUAGAGGCGAGGUUCCGCCAUACCUGCCAGAUCGCCCAACCCCUGGGGCGACACCAGGCUGAGGACACACAUUUCUACUUCUCGUCUCUGUGCCUUUGACCUUCCCAUCCCUCAUGCUUCUCCAGCUUUGUGGCUCCCCACAGGGCUGUGUUUAUUCUGUGAUCACUGCCCAUUUUGGAGGUCACAAGCUCUGGAGCUUACAGGAACUGGGCAGGACAUUAAAAAGCAGCGUGUGGGGAGUGCUGUGGGGAACUCACGGGCCCUGUCCCAUGGAAAAUAUUCAAGUUCAAACGUUAGUAGAACAUCACGAGGGUCAAACAAAAUACGCCUGCAGGCAGGACCUCUGAUUUAUGUUAGCGCUGGGUGUCUCCGCCUACCCACAAGGCAGCGCCAGAACCACCGCCUGGCUCUUAGCACAAAAUCUGCUCAUAAGUGGAUGCUUAGGGAGUGUUUGUUGAACUGAACAGAGGUGAAUUAUAGGCUAUUACCCCAAGACUCUGAAAUAGUAGACAUGUUCUGUGAAAACCUAGGGGACCUUUUUCCAAAUCGGGGGCCGAUUAAUUCAGCUGUUGGAGGCUCUGGCCCCCAUGCAGACUGAAGCCUCGGUUCAGGGCCAGCGGAUGGCAGAGGUGCGGCAGGGUCAGAGCUGCGAUCCCUGCAGAUCCUUCAGCACUGGAGGAGAAACAGCCAAAGGGCAGGCGUGGCCCAGAGCCAGCGGCAGCUCUCCUGCACCAGCCUGGGCAGAGACGGCAUGAACAGAGAGUAAAGUGUUAAGUCCAGGGAUGCUUCCCCCAACAUUAUUUGAUGGUCUCUUUCUUAAGAAAACAAAGGAAGCAACAAUGUUUCAACGUGCCUCUUCAGGUAUCCUCAGUGAUUUAUAUUAAAAACCAGAGCCUUUAGAAACAUCUUGAAAUCACACUCUCCAGACUCACCCCAAAAUACCCAACAGUGAAGGAGGACUUACUGUCCCACUAGAAUGGGCACUUUCUCUGGAGGGAGGAGAAGGUUGUCUAAAGACACUAACAGUAGGUGGGGCUUGUCUAGGCCUGUGGGGGACGGGGCAUGGUGGGGGUGUGGGGAGGGACCGCCUUCCACCAGAAAGGAUGAAAUGAGCUGGAUUUUCAUGUCAUAAACAGAUUUACUCUCCAUGUCCUGAUGUGUAUAAACCUUUAAAAAGACUCUAGAAAUGCUAUAAUAUUCAGAGCAUUCUCUCUGGAUGGUGAGACUAUAAUUUUUUCUUACUUAUUUUUAAUAUAAUUUCAGUUGUCUUCAAUAUAUAAAUAUUACUUUUAGAAUGUAGGAAAUAAGUGUAAU
Molecule: long non-coding RNA, 3182 nt
Filed under: Homo sapiens (human)
Lineage: Eukaryota; Metazoa; Chordata; Mammalia; Primates; Hominidae
Description: HSALNT0131741
Source: RNAcentral